GAUGAACGCUGACAGAAUGCUUAACACAUGCAAGUCUACUUGAACUUCGGUUUGGGUGGCGGACGGGUGAGUAACGCGUAAAGAACUUGCCUCACAGUUAGGGACAACAUUUGGAAACGAAUGCUAAUACCUGAUAUUAUGAUUUUAGGGCAUCCUAAGAUUAUGAAAGCUAUAUGCACUGUGAGAGAGCUUUGCGUCCCAUUAGCUAGUUGGAGAGGUAACGGCUCACCAAGGCGAUGAUGGGUAGCCGGCCUGAGAGGGUGAACGGCCACAAGGGGACUGAGACACGGCCCUUACUCCUACGGGAGGCAGCAGUGGGGAAUAUUGGACAAUGGACCAAAAGUCUGAUCCAGCAAUUCUGUGUGCACGAUGACGUUUUUCGGAAUGUAAAGUGCUUUCAGUUGGGAAGAAAAAAAUGACGGUACCAACAGAAGAAGUGACGGCGAAAUACGU
RNAcentral lists this ribosomal RNA (453 nucleotides) under uncultured bacterium. Its description in RNAcentral is "partial 16S ribosomal RNA". It matches the Rfam family "Bacterial small subunit ribosomal RNA", at positions 28 to 506 of the family's 1533-position model. The record is from RNAcentral.